CCUACGGGCGGCAGCAGUGGGGAAUAUUGCACAAUGGGGGAAACCCUGAUGCAGCGACGCCGCGUGAGUGAAGAAGUAUUUCGGUAUGUAAAGCUCUAUCAGCAGGGAAGAAAAAAGACGGUACCUGACUAAGAAGCCCCGGCUAACUACGUGCCAGCAGCCGCGGUAAUACGUAGGGGGCAAGCGUUAUCCGGAUUUACUGGGUGUAAAGGGAGCGUAGACGGCCUGGCAAGUCUGAAGUGAAAGGGAGGGGCUUAACCCCUGAACUGCUUUGGAAACUGGCAUGCUAGAGUGCUGGAGAGGUAAGUGGAAUGCCUGGUGUAGCGGUGAAAUGCGUAGAUAUUAGGAGGAACACCGGUGGCGAAGGCAGCUUACUGGACAGUAACUGACGUUGAGGCUCGAAAGCGUGGGGAUCAAACAGGAUUAGAUACCCCGGUAGUC
Molecule: ribosomal RNA, 441 nt
Filed under: uncultured bacterium
Lineage: Bacteria
Description: partial 16S ribosomal RNA
Rfam family: Bacterial small subunit ribosomal RNA
Source: RNAcentral